CAGCAGCCACGGUAAUACGGAGGGAGCUAGCGUUGCUCGGAAUUACUGGGCGUAAAGCGCACGUAGGCGGUUAUUCAAGUCAGAGGUGAAAGCCCGGGGCUCAACCCCGGAACUGCCUUUGAAACUAGAUGACUGGAAUCUUGGAGAGGUCAGUGGAAUUCCGAGUGUAGAGGUGAAAUUCGUAGAUAUUCGGAAGAACACCAGUGGCGAAGGCGACUGACUGGACAAGUAUUGACGCUGAGGUACGAAAGCGUGGGGAGCAAACAGGAUUAGAGACCCCAGUAGUCCCUGUCUCUUAUAC
This 301-nucleotide ribosomal RNA is filed under the name uncultured bacterium. RNAcentral describes it as "partial 16S ribosomal RNA". It matches the Rfam family "Bacterial small subunit ribosomal RNA", at positions 509 to 807 of the family's 1533-position model. The record is from RNAcentral.